Molecule: ribosomal RNA, 273 nt
Filed under: uncultured bacterium
Lineage: Bacteria
Description: partial 16S ribosomal RNA
Rfam family: Bacterial small subunit ribosomal RNA
Source: RNAcentral
UACAGAGGGUGCGAGCGUUAAUCGGAAUUACUGGGCGUAAAGCGCGCGUAGGCGGCUUUGCAAGUCGGGUGUGAAAUCCCCAGGCUUAACCUGGGAACUGCAUUCGAGACUGCAUUGCUAGAGUAUGGGAGAGGGAAGUGGAAUUUCAGGUGUAGCGGUGAAAUGCGUAGAUAUCUGAAGGAACAUCAGUGGCGAAAGCGACUUCCUGGACCAAUACUGACGCUCAUGUGCGAAAGCGUGGGGAGCAAACAGGAUUAGAUACCCCCGUAGUCC